UAGUCCACGCCCUAAACUAUGUUCACUCGAUGUUUGUGAUAUACAAUAAGCAUCUAAGGGAAACCGUUAAGUGAACCACCUGGGGAGUACGUUCGCAAGAAUGAAACUCAAAGGAAUUGACGGGGUCCGCACAAGCGGUGGAGUAUGUGGUUUAAUUCGAUGAUACGCGAGGAACCUUACCUAGGCUCUAAUGCGACUGCUAUCCGGUGAAAGCUGGAGUUCCUUCGGGACAGGAAGCAAGGUGCUGCAUGGUUGUCGUCAGCUCGUGCCGUGAGGUGUCAGGUUAAGUCCUAUAACGAGCGCAACCCCUACCGUUAGUUUCCAGCAAGUAAUGUUGGGGACUCUAAAGAGACUGCCGGCGUAAGCCGCGAGGAAGGUGGGGAUGGACGUCAAAUCAUCAUGGGCCUUUAUGCCUAGGGGCUACACACGUGCUACAAUGGCAGGGUACAGAGGGGUUNCGAACUCGCGAGGGGUAA
This 476-nucleotide ribosomal RNA is filed under the name uncultured bacterium. Its description in RNAcentral is "bacterial SSU rRNA". It matches the Rfam family "Bacterial small subunit ribosomal RNA", at positions 791 to 1267 of the family's 1533-position model. The record is from RNAcentral.